RNAcentral lists this unclassified non-coding RNA (309 nucleotides) under plant metagenome. RNAcentral describes it as "partial contains 5.8S ribosomal RNA, internal transcribed spacer 2, and large subunit ribosomal RNA". The stretch from base 1 to 104 matches the Rfam family "5.8S ribosomal RNA", at positions 51 to 154 of the family's 154-position model. The record is from RNAcentral.
AAAUGCGAUAAGUAGUGUGAAUUGCAGAAUUCAGUGAAUCAUCGAAUCUUUGAACGCACAUUGCGCCUCUUGGUAUUCCAUGGGGCAUGCCUGUUCGAGCGUCAUUUGUACCCUCAAGCUCUGCUUGGUGUUGGGUGUUUGUCCCCGUCUCCGCGCGUGGACUCGCCCCAAAGUGAUUGGCAGCCGGCGUACUGGUCCCGGAGCGCAGCACAUGUCGCGCAAACGAGUGCCUUGGUACGGCGGCGUCCAUAAGCCCCUCUCUCACGCUCUUGACCUCGGAUCAGGUAGGGAUACCCGCUGAACUUAAGC